Pelobates cultripes (western spadefoot toad) is the source of this 683-nucleotide non-coding RNA. Lineage: Eukaryota; Metazoa; Chordata; Amphibia; Anura; Pelobatidae. The record is from the annotation of a GenBank genome assembly.
CCAGGACUUCCCACCCAGAGCUCUAGAACUCUAAGUAGCAUUGGAGUGUGAUCUGGACUACUUGGGCUAGGUAUCUCCAAUCCGAGCUCCUAGGUGUCUGGCCGUUAAAAAAGUUACCUCGUCAGGUACAGACACCCAGCUGCCAGGUAUCGUGAAAUUCUAUUCUUCCCCUGUUGACCCCCUGGUGGGGACCCAGGUAUAAAAAGGCAAAAGUCACUCCAAUAAAGGGUGCUUGUUUUACCCUUAAAUAAAACUUCGACUGAUAAUCACUAUUGGGCUAAUCACUAAGGGGACUGGGAGUCCUUGGCGGCGACACUCCGGUCACCUAGGAGAAGUCUGCCUCAACCCCCUAUUCUCCUAUGGCAUCCCCCAACUCCCUAUUCCCAUCAUCUCCAAUCCCUCCUGAGUUGGCCGGUCUAGAGAGAUGUAUUGAACUGAAAAUGAAAUAGUCACCAACGUGCCAAAAUCACAGCAGAGCAAAAUCAAUAAUUUAAUAAGUGAGGCUGAACAUUAAUUUACUAUAUUUUAACUGAACACCUUAAACAAACAUUAUGCUUUUGGUUGGAAAUUCUGUGACGUGAGAAGAAAGCACUCCCUAGUGGCCAGAAGCGAAUGUAGCAUGUGUUGCAGUAUUAUUAUCAUUAUUUAUAUAGCGCCAACAUGUUCCGUAGCGCUGUGCAAUG